Molecule: RNA transcript, 4506 nt
Organism: Anthonomus grandis grandis
Lineage: Eukaryota; Metazoa; Arthropoda; Insecta; Coleoptera; Curculionidae
Exons: 3
Source: RefSeq, a predicted model, not a curated record
GAGCGUUCAUCACCCCCUAAUUUCUAUUACAUGGAUAACUCUUUUGCUUUAAAAGAUAUUUUAAUGAGAUUUUCACUAGUAUUUUUUAAAUAUUUAGCAGAAGAAGCGAAGUUAUUUGUUUAUUUUUUUUUUUUAAAUAUUGAUAUUUUUCUUUUUUAUAAAAAAAAAAUAUAAAAAAAUAAAUAAGUUCGCCUCUAGUAAAUGCGUUUUUAAAAAAUUAACCCUAAUAACAUUUUAUGAAAUUUUUAAUAAUAAACCUAGCAAACGUGUAAUAGCAAAAUAUGGCAAUUUUCAUCAAAUUUUAGAAUAUUUACUACGUCUCGGCAUACUUGGCAGCAUUGCUUUAUGCUUUAUCGAUCCAAGAUCUACUGGCGAGCGUCGUUCCCGUGUCACCCCAAUGUUAAAAAAUAUUAAUAUAUAGUAAUGUAAUAAAUUAUGUAGGUUGAAUAUUAACAAAUACGAAAAGUUUGGACUACCUGAUUUUAGUUAUUUUUCGAACUUUUGUCCACAAUCCUUUUUGGUUUGUGAUGUAGCGUUGAUGUGUUUACAAAUUUGCCGUACGCUGCAAUAUUAUUAAUAAUUGUUAUUAGUAGGCAACUAAUAACAAUUAAUAAUAUUAGGUACUUAGGUUAGAUUAGUAGGAUAUUUAGUAAAUUUUGUUUUUUUUUGUUUGAAUUUUUAAGCCUGUCUGCAAGCGACUGUCGCCGCGCCAUCGCGUCGCCUCGGUGCCGCCUUACCCCAUUGUUAAACAAUAAUGUUAUAUUAUAUUCAGGUAGAAUAAUGAGAAAAACGAAAAUUUUAGACUGGGUACCUGAAUAACUGUAACUUUUUACGUACCCUAACACUUUUUAGUUUGUGAUGUGCCGUUGUAUAUGGAAGUCUGUCAUGUGCUAUUUUUGUGAAAACUGUGAACUUUACUGUUAUAGUGUUUUUGUUUUUAUUGUGCAAGAGCAGUUAUUUUUUGAAAAAAUGGGAAAACGUAAAGACGGUAAAUCCAAGGUUUACUAUUCGCGCCGGAAAUCAAGGAAACACAAAAGAGUUAUUAUCUAACUAAUACUAAAAAGUAAGUAUGGAUUUUAACAAUUUUUUUUUGAAAAAGUAGAUUUAUUAAAAACAAUUAGAUAAACAGUAGAUAAAUAUUUCCAAAAAUUAUUUUAUUAUUUUGUCUCAUUGUAAACAUAAAAAUACCACUUUUGGGCCACUUUUAUAACAUUUUUUUUUCAAGGCAAUACGAUUAUUAGGGCCUGAGAUAUAGCCGGUGAACAUUCUUAUUUGCCCACCCGGUACAUAAUAUGUACCCAAUUGGCCCAUAUUUCUUAUUUUUUAAUGAUUUGUUUAAAAAGUGAAUAUGGAAUGGUUUGUAACAAAUUAUUUUUAAAAAAUUCGAUGAAAGGCUUAAUACCUAAACUCGUGAUAAAAACUAAACUUUCAUUUUGGCCAUAUUUUUUUUUAUUAUUUUUUAAUUAGUUGAGUUUUUUAAUUAUUUAUUUUUUAUUAGUUUUUAUAUCAAAAUAUUACUUUUAGAACAUCUCCUGAUACCAUAACUGACUACGUUAUAGAAGGAAGGAGAAUCGUAGAUAUUCAGAAGCUUUUUAAAGAAAUCCAGAAUUUAUCCAGACACCCUCCAUUUAAUUGCACAAUUGCAGAUAUGAACAUUUUGACGGAAAAUAGAAAAGGCUUAAAAAGUUCAAUUUUACUAAAGUGCAAAAUGUGCAAUUUAGAAAAAUACCUCAAUCUGUUUACUCAAGAUGAGUCUGAAACAUCCAUGGACAUAAAUGCCGCAGCAGCCUUAGCAACCAUUUCAACGGGUAUUGGAUUUACUGCCGCAGAAGAAUUUAUGGCCAUACUGGAUGUCCCUUUUAUGUCUCCAAAUACAUAUCAGCAGCACCAUGAGUUUGUGGGAGAAAAGAUAAGGGAAACGGCUUGAAAAGCAAUGGAGGAAGCCGCACAAGAAGAGAGUUUAUUGGCCAAAGAAUUAGGAGAAGUAGACCAAAAUAAUCGCCCCUGUAUCACUGUUGUGGCUGAUGGUGCUUGGAGCAAAAGGUCUUAUAAUGUUAAUUAUGAUGCUGCUUCAGGAGUUGCUUGUAUAAUUGGACAGAGGACCGGAAAACUUUUAUUUCUUGGCAUCCGAAAUAAAUACUGCAGCUUUUGUGCAUACGCCAGUGCCAAAAACAUGGAAGUCAUUCCAGAUCAUACAUGUUAUAAGAACUGGUCAAAUACAUCCACAAGUAUGGAAUCCGACAUAAUUGUGGAAGGAUUUCGAAAAAGUAUUGACAUGUAUAAUAUUAUUUAUAAAAGACUUGUUGGGGAUGGUGACAGUAGCGUCUAUAAAAAACUGAUCGAGGCUCGCCCAUAUGGAAGUUUACAUGUGGAGAAAAUUGAGUGCAGGAAUCAUUUAUUAAGAAAUUUUUGCUCCAAAUUGCGUGAAAUAUCUAAUAAGUUUAUUUAUCAUUAGCAUUAAUUUUUGAAAAAGCUAUUAAUUGUUCUUUAUUUAUUUUAGGUAAAAAAAGAAGCAACAGUACAAAUAAUCCGGUUUCACCAUACCUGCGCAAACAUAUUUUGAACAAUAUACGAAGGAUGAGAACUGCUGUGGCAAUGGCUGUUACUCAAAGAAAUAAAGAAGAUAAAAGCUUUAGUAUUAAAAUAGAAAAUCUUACUAAAGAUUUAAAAAAUAUACCAUCCCACGUAUUUGGAGAGCAUCUAAACUGUACAGCCAUAGGAUAUUUUAGAUGUGAUAAAAAGUUUGGAGAAAAAAAUUAUAUUGAAGAAAUGAAGGCAUGUGGGGUUUUGCAAGACAUUGAAGUUUGUCUAAAUAGACUCAUAUUGCAUGCUUCCAGUUUGUUAAGAAAUAUGGACAAUAAUGUAGCUGAACAUUAUAACUCUGUGGUAUGCAAGUUUAUUGGCGGAAAGCGCAUCAAUUUUUCAAAAAGAAGGUCUUAUCAAAUACGGUGUGAAGCUGCAGCCCUAUCUUAUAAUCUUGGAAGCGGAGAAUACCACAAACAAAUUUUUAAAUCAAUUGCUGAAAAAAGUCCUUCUGGUCAUACAAAAAAAUUUAUUAAUAGAGUUAAACAAAGACGUAUUAAUACUCUUAAAAUAAGACCAAAAACCCUAUUUAAAAAACGAAAUAAAUCAAUUGCGCUUCCUGAUAAAGAUUAUGGGGAUCAGGAGGCAGAUAAUAGCAUACAGCCAGACAUGGAAGAAAAUUUAUUUGAAGAAAAAAAAAAGGAAUUUUUAGAAGAACUCGAAAAUUUAGAAGAAAUGAAAAUGAGAUUAAGGAUUUAGAGAUUAGUACCAGAGGACAAGGAGGAAAUCCAAAGUGGUAUCAAGAAAGGAGUUUAAGGCUUACAGCGUCAAAUUUUGGAAAUAUUUGCAAAAUGCUAGAAAAAACAAAUUGCAAAAAUAAAGUAAAAGCAAUUCUUUAUUCCAAGUUUCGGGGCAAUAAACACACUAAGUAUGGCACCGAAAAAGAACCAUUUGCUAUUCAACAAUUUGAGGAAACCUACAAUUUAAAAGUUGAAAUGUGUGGUCUUUUUAUUGAUUCCGAAUGUUGUGCUUUGGCUGCUAGCCCUGAUGGGCUAGUUGGCUCAAGAGGAUUAGUAGAAGUAAAGUGCCCAUCAACAGCUUCAGCAAUCAGCCCUACAGAAGCUAUCAAUAAAAAAAUAAUCAAGUUUGCCACCCUUGAUGAAAAUGGACAGAUGCAUUUAAAACAGAACCAUGAUUAUUUUUAUAAAAUCCAAGGCCAGCUUCAUAUCACAAAAAGAGAUUUUUGUUAUUUUAUUUUAUGGACACCUAUGGGGAUGCUGGUAGAACAGAUUUGGCGGCAGGACUCAUUCUGGAAUGACAAAAUGAUAGGAAAAUUAAAAAGUUUCUAUUACAAUUGUUUAUUACCGGAAAUUAUCGACCCGCGAUAUAGUAGAGGACUGGAAAUAAGAAAUCCAUCGAGAAAAUAACAACAUUUCAAUUUUAAAAUAGGUAUAUUAAUAGAUUUUUGCAAAUAUAAAACUGUACUUUUUAAAAUAAAAUUUAAAAUAUAAGUAUGUAUAUAAUUGUUUUUUCAAUAAGAUUAGGGUAAAAUGUAUAACAGUUCAAAAAAGAUGUAUAAAAAAAACAAUUAUACAUAGAUUUUGUAUAAAAAAUGUAUAUUUUUUUAAAAAUUCCUUUUAAAAACUCCCCCGUACAUCAUUAACAAAAAGUCUCGCAAAAAGUUUAAUAAUAAUUGUAGCAAAAAAAAAAUUAUAUGAAAUAGGAUCGAGCACCCCAUUUCAAAGAAAAAUUUUGCCAAUAAUCGACAAUCGUAAUGUCUCAUUAUUCAAGUUUCAUAAUUCCCCGCGCCAUGCUAUGCCAUCCUCACCAGAUUUAUAUGACACGCGAGAACCUAUCGGUUUGGUCGCCGCUUUGAAAUGACCCCUUCCCUUCAUCCUUCCGCUGAGUGUUGCCAUAUGUUGGGUGAGCCAAAAAAUCGCCUAUAUUUUGAAAUCCGAGUUGGUCACGUGCUGAUGGAUGCUC